This 749-nucleotide ribosomal RNA is filed under the name uncultured bacterium. RNAcentral's name for it is "bacterial SSU rRNA". It matches the Rfam family "Bacterial small subunit ribosomal RNA", at positions 8 to 739 of the family's 1533-position model. The record is from RNAcentral.
AGAGUUUGAUCCUGGCUCAGGACGAACGCUGGCGGCGUGCUUAACACAUGCAAGUCAAGGAGAAAAUUUUCUUCGGAAAAUGAGUAAACUGGCGAACGGGUGAGUAACACGUAGGCAACCUGCCCUAGAGAUUGGGAUAACUUCGGGAAACCGGAGCUAAUACCGGAUAAUGCAGCGGGUCCUUCGGGACAUUGUUGUUAAAGCUGGCUUCGGCUAGUACUUUAGGAUGGGCCUGCGUCCGAUUAGCUUGUUGGUAGGGUAACGGCCUACCAAGGCGAUGAUCGGUAGCUGGUCUGAGAGGAUGAUCAGCCACACUGGGAUUGAGAUACGGCCCAGACUCCUACGGGAGGCAGCAGUGGGGAAUUUUGCGCAAUGGGCGAAAGCCUGACGCAGCAACGCCGCGUGACCGAUGAAGCUUCUAGGAGUGUAAAGGUCUGUCGUGAGGGAAGAAAAAUCCGGAUGUAAAUAAUGUUCGGACGUGACGGUACCUCACAAGAAAGCACCGGCUAACUUCGUGCCAGCAGCCGCGGUAAUACGAGGGGUGCUAGCGUUGUCCGGAAUCACUGGGCGUAAAGGGUCCGUAGGCGUUUUGCUAAGUUGAUUGUUAAAUCCAUCGGCUCAACCGAUGAUCUGCAAUCAAAACUGGUAGAAUAGAGUUCGAGAGAGGAAAGUAGAAUUCCUGGUGUAGCGGUGACAUGCGUAGAUAUCAGGAGGAACACCAAUGGCGAAGGCAGCUUUCUGGCUCGAUA